RNAcentral lists this ribosomal RNA (460 nucleotides) under uncultured bacterium. RNAcentral's name for it is "partial 16S ribosomal RNA". It matches the Rfam family "Bacterial small subunit ribosomal RNA", at positions 338 to 795 of the family's 1533-position model. The record is from RNAcentral.
CCUACGGGGAGCAGCAGUGAGGAAUAUUGGUCAAUGGGCGCGAGCCUGAACCAGCCAAGUAGCGUGAAGGAUGACUGCCCUACGGGUUGUAAACUUCUUUUAUAAAGGAAUAACGUGAGGAACGUGUGCCUUUUUGUAUGUACUUUAUGAAUUAGGAUCGGCUAACUCCGUGCCAGCAGCCGCGGUAAUACGGAGGAUCCGAGCGUUGUCCGGAUUUAUUGGGUUUAAAGGGAGCGUAGAUGGGUUGUUAAGUCAGUUGUGAAAGUUUGCGGCUCAACCGUAAAAUUGCAAUUGAUACUGGCAGCCUUGAGUACAGUUGAGGUAGGCGGAAUUCGUGGUGUAGCGGUGAAAUGCUUAGAUAUCACGAAGAACUCCGAUUGCGAAGGCAGCUUACUAAACUGCCACUGACAUUGAUGCUCGAAAGUGUGGGUAUCAAACAGGAUUAGAUACCCUAGUAGUC